AUUGAACGCUGGCGGCAGGCCUAACACAUGCAAGUCGAACGGUAGCACAGAGAGCUUGCUCUUGGGUGACGAGUGGCGGACGGGUGAGUAAUGUCUGGGAAACUGCCUGAUGGAGGGGGACAACUACUGGAAACGGUAGCUAAUACCGCAUAACGUCGCAAGACCAAAGAGGGGGACCUUCGGGCCUCUUGCCAUCAGAUGUGCCCAGAUGGGAUUAGCUAGUAGGUGGGGUAACGGCUCACCUAGGCGACGAUCCCUAGCUGGUCUGAGAGGAUGACCAGCCACACUGGAACUGAGACACGGUCCAGACUCCUACGGGAGGCAGCAGUGGGGAAUAUUGCACAAUGGGCGCAAGCCUGAUGCAGCCAUGCCGCGUGUAUGAAGAAGGCCUUCGGGUUGUAAAGUACUUUCAGCGAGGAGGAAGGCCAUACGGUUAAUAACCGUGUCGAUUGACGUUACUCGCAGAAGAAGCACCGGCUAACUCCGUGCCAGCCGCCGCCGUAA
Molecule: ribosomal RNA, 504 nt
Filed under: uncultured bacterium
Lineage: Bacteria
Description: partial 16S ribosomal RNA
Rfam family: Bacterial small subunit ribosomal RNA
Source: RNAcentral